This 266-nucleotide ribosomal RNA is filed under the name uncultured archaeon. RNAcentral's name for it is "partial 16S ribosomal RNA". It matches the Rfam family "Archaeal small subunit ribosomal RNA", at positions 719 to 982 of the family's 1478-position model. The record is from RNAcentral.
AACACGACUACAUUAGAUACCCGCGUAGUCCCAGCCCUAAACGAUGCGCGUUAGGUGUAUCGGUGACCACGAGUCACCGAGGUGCCGAAGGGAAACCGUGAAACGUGCCGCCUGGGAAGUACGGUCGCAAAGGCUGAAACUUAAAGGAAUUGCGGGGGAGCACCACAACGGGUGGAGCCUGCGGUUUAAUUGGACUCAACGCCGGGAAGCUCACCGGAUAAGACAGCGGAAUGAUUGCCGGGCUGAAGACCCUGCAUGACCAGCUG